Heterocephalus glaber (naked mole-rat) is the source of this 616-nucleotide long non-coding RNA. NCBI's taxonomy places the organism in Eukaryota, Metazoa, Chordata, Mammalia, Rodentia, Bathyergidae. The record is from Ensembl.
GUCAAAGAGUAGACAUAAUGGUGGAGACUGAAUUGUGUUUCCCAAAAUUCAUAUGUUGAAGCUUAAUCCCUCCUUUGAAUUUCUAGGCACAGCGCAUCAGGCAAGGCAAUAAUGAAAGUGAAAUGACAUACAGGUGGAGUUGGGAUAUGAUAUGACUGAUGUCUUUACAAUGAGAGGGGGAGACAUCGGAGAUCUCAGCUUCAGUGUAUACAGAUAAAAGACCCCCAUGGAAUUAUGGUGAAAAGGAAGCCAGCUGCAAACCAAGGAGAGAGACCUCACCACAGAUAGCCCUGCUGGUUCCCUGACCUCCAGUAUGGUGGAUUUUCUGCUUGAUAUGAAACAUUAAUGGAAUCCAGCAGUCUGCAGCAGCCAGCCCAGUGUCUGGAGUGAGAAGACAUCACAGGUUGGCCAUCAACACUGGAGGUGUUGACCAUCAUUAGUGGAGAUGAAAAUCUAGAAGGUUUUCCCUGAGGGUUUUGUAAUAUCCAUAUUAAAUAUGAAAGAAGAAAGAGUACAAAAAGGGAGAUUUUCUAAGUAAGAGAAAAUAAACACAGAGUCCAAGAAUUCACAAUGGGACUUUUAUGAAGAGAAAUCUUAAUCAGUGUGGAAAGACAAG